This 1643-nucleotide long non-coding RNA is filed under the name Gossypium raimondii (Peruvian cotton). RNAcentral describes it as "long non-coding RNA (GRAI_LNC010266)". Lineage: Eukaryota; Viridiplantae; Streptophyta; Magnoliopsida; Malvales; Malvaceae. The record is from RNAcentral.
GACAUAUUGACAUAACAACUUAUUUAAUAAAAAUCCUAUUAUCAUUUCUAAUUAACACAUAAAAACUAAUCAAGUCAUUUCAAUUCAAUACCAAUGCCAUAAAGGACUUCUACCAAUUUGCUAAUAUAAUCAUCAAAAUACAUAAUAUCUUACUUUACAACAAAACUAUAUAACAUACCAAAAUAACUAUUAUAAUUCUUAUGUACAUGCCACUCUCUCUUAAAGGAAGAAAACAUCACCAAAAUCUUUAUGUCGGAGUCGGGAUUGUCCUGAAUGCUGAACCGAGACUCUGAUCCCUUUUCAACUUGCGCACGGAAACAAUCGUACGCUGAGUAUUGUAUACUCAGUGGUAUUGCCAUAAUUCAAAUUAUAAUAACAACAAAGAAUUAUAAUUACCAAGUAUGUAACUAUCCGAUUUCUUAAAUAUCAAUUAAUUUAUAAACUUUCAUUAACUAACAAUAACAAUACAAUUUUUAGCUAUUCUUCAAUUUCAAUCAUAUAUCACAUGUAAUAAUUUCAAUCACUACAUAAACAUUAAAUUCAUGCCUUUCAUUUUCAAUCUCAAAUUUCAAUCCACAAUUUUAACUUUUCUUAUUUCAAUUAUUCACCCUAUUAACAAUCUGGAUUUUGACGGAUACACGGAUUCCAACCCAAACACACCAAUACGGCACAUUGUGCCUAAAACGGUAUAUAAUACCUGAUCAAUAUACGACACAUAAGUGCCUGAAACGACACACGAGGUGCCUGAUACGACACAUAAAGUGCCUGAGAUACGACACAUAAAGUGCCUGAUCGGCAAAGCCGAUAAAUCCCGUACUCUUCUAAAUCCUAUGGCAUGCCAAUUAUAUCCGACUCAGCCCGACUAGUUAAUAGGGUAUAUAAAUUUCUCAAUCUAAUUUUCACUUUUAUUUCAAAAAUUCAUUUUCAAUAUCAAUUAUACUUUUUCCAUUCACUAAUUAAACACAGUUCAAUACCAACACAUACUUUUCUCAUUAAAUUUAAAUUUUUUUCCAAAUUCAAUUCAAUAAAGUCACUUACCUUACCAUACACAUAAUUUAAAUUUAACAUCAAAUAAUAAAUAAUUUGAAUUAUAGUAAUACAAACCCGAAUUUUGCUCGAUUAUUCCUCAAUAACCUUCUCCUUUCCUUUGUGUGCCGAUACCUCGAGUUCCUUGUUAGCUACGAAAAUAAUAAUAAUUUACACCAUCAAUUACAACAUUAAUUUAUAACAAUAAUAAAAUUUCUAUCUAAUUUAUACUUUAAUUCCAAUUUAAUCCUAACUAAAUUUAUUUACUUUUCUAAUUUAAUUCACACUCUAUUUCUAUUCAAAUUUCUUCUAAACUCAAAUUUAACUACCAAAUUUUCAGCAUAUUUCAUUAAUUUCGAAUUUUCCUCAAUUUAAUCCCUACAAACAUAAAACUUAUAGCUUACUUCACAAUUUAAUCCUUUUAUCAACUCUAACUAGAAAUUCUAUCAAAUAAAACCUCAAUUCCAUCAUUUAUUCAACAUAAACCCUACUAAAAAAUCUAUUAACUUUCAAAUUUUCAACUUAAAUCCAAGAGUAUUUCACUCUAGGGUUCCAAAAAACAUCAAAUUUAUGAGAAAAGGACUUGAUUUAGCUUACCUAUUAAACUUCAAGCUNNN